AUUGUUCAUGGACUUUUGAAUGAUGGCCGUUCUGACUGGUGUGAGGUGAUACCUCAUUGUAGUUUUGCUUUGCUUUUUUCAGGAUGUGGGCUUUCGAAGCCAGAAGAAGGAGAGGCUGGUACCUGGGGCCUGGGUGGAGUGCUGGAAGGGAGGUCAGUUUAGAAGUAGGAGUGUUUCCUGAAGGCACCCAGCCAGAAGGGCCACACCUUGGCUCUUCACAUAUUUCUGUACUCCAAGGGAGAGGCAGAGACACGGGAGGAGAGCAAGGGUAGAGUGGAGGUAUUUGGGCAGGGGGCUAAUGGCCCUGGGGCCCACUUAAGGGUCUGGCUGUACCAGGCUUAUGCUUAAGUUGUUGAGAUAGUGGAGCAUGAACCCAGGACUGUGGAAAAAGCCAAGGAAGGAGGCAGCUUGGUUGCUCAGCUCGGCCUGGGCCCCUCCUUAGGGAGGCCCUGGCUCUAGUUGUGUAAGUGCCCUGCCACUGGAGAGGAGUGGGGAAGAUGUAAGAUGUGCCAGAAUUGGUUAAUACCUGUUGGGCUCUGAGCCCGCCUUCCACUCCCCCACAGCUCCCCUGCUUAGGCCACAAAACCUCUCUGUUAGACAGCAGAUUAAUUUGAAAAUUGAGUUGCAGCUGGAUGAGUUGAUGUCAACUUCAAAGUUCAGUGGUGUUUAAUUAAAGCCAUCCAGAGACUAAACCUGCUCCUAGGAAAUUAUUCUGACCGAAUAAUUAAAGAGAAUAAAGGUUAGAUUUUUAUUUCUGGCUAAGUCUGUGUUGCAUUCAGCAUCUCCAAAACAUGAAUUCUAUUAAUCUUUCAUGAACCAACAUUAAAUUGCUUUCAGUUAGUUGUCAUUCUAAUUAAAGUAGAGUCGCACAGAAGAACCUUUGUUUGUCUGUUCUCCUUUCUCCUUUGAAGUUAUGUCCUUGAAGAAAUGGUCAUUUGGCAAAUUGAUUCAUAACUUGAUGUGUCUGCCCACCCCUCCCUUAGUUGGGUCCUGCUCACUGAGCAUCGGAAAGAAUUGCACCCGGAAAAGUAGGCCCGGCUGCGCAGGGUAAGUAAGCACUGCUGAUGCUUGGGUUGAGGUGUGUAAUUUGCAAAAACAUGACCUGUGGUCAUGGGAGUUAAAGUGAAGGACUAGUUAAGAUCGCCUGCCCAGCCCAGGCCAACUUGGGCAGGCCUUGAGGAAGGUCUUGGGGAGCUGAGGUCUCCCCAGGAGGGCCUUGUGGGUUGGGAGAGGGUGCCCUGCUGUUUGCCAUUCCACGACCUGACUCUCCCUGAGCCUUUGUGCUUUGGUGUGGGUGGCCUUGUUUCUGCCGAGUGAUGGGAUGGGAAGAGCGUGGUG
Non-coding RNA from Vicugna pacos (alpaca), 1338 nucleotides. The record is from RefSeq and is a predicted model, not a curated record. Lineage: Eukaryota; Metazoa; Chordata; Mammalia; Artiodactyla; Camelidae.